AUUGAACGCUGGCGGCAUGCCUUACGCAUGCAAGUCGAACGGUAACAGGUCUUCGGAUGCUGACGAGUGGCGAACGGGUGAGUAAUACAUCGGAACGUGCCCGAUCGUGGGGGAUAACGAAGCGAAAGCUUUGCUAAUACCGCAUAAGAUCUACGGAUGAAAGCAGGGGACCGCAAGGCCUUGCGCGAACGGAGCGGCCGAUGGCAGAUUAGGUAGUUGGUGGGAUAAAAGCUUACCAAGCCGACGAUCUGUAGCUGGUCUGAGAGGACGACCAGCCACACUGGGACUGAGACACGGCCCAGACUCCUACGGGAGGCAGCAGUGGGGAAUUUUGGACAAUGGGCGAAAGCCUGAUCCAGCCAUGCCGCGUGCAGGAUGAAGGCCUUCGGGUUGUAAACUGCUUUUGUACGGAACGAAAAGACUCUUUCUAAUAAAGAGGGCCCAUGACGGUACCGUAAGAAUAAGCACCGGCUAACUACGUGCCAGCAGCCGCGGUAA
This 498-nucleotide ribosomal RNA is filed under the name uncultured bacterium. RNAcentral's name for it is "partial 16S ribosomal RNA". It matches the Rfam family "Bacterial small subunit ribosomal RNA", at positions 30 to 523 of the family's 1533-position model. The record is from RNAcentral.